CAGAAGCUGGCGGCGUGGCUAAUACAUGCAAGUCGAACGGACCCGUUAAUUUAUUAGCGGGUUAGUGGCGCAAGGGUGAGUAAUGGAUAGGUAACGUGCCCCGAGCUCCGGGAUAGCGUCCCGAAAGGGGCGGUAAUACCGGAUAAUAUCGCCGGCCGAUGGGUCGGCGAUCAAAGAUUUAUCGGCGCGGGCGCGGCCUAUCUCCUAUCAGCUAGUUGGUGAGGUAACGGCCCACCAAGGCGAAGACGGGUAGCGGGACUGAGAGGUUGGCCCGCCACAUCGGGACUGAGACACUGCCCGGACCCCCACGGGGGGCUGCAGUAACGAAUCUUGGGCAAUGGGCGAAAGCCUGACCCAGCGACGCCGCGUACGGGAGGAAGCCCUUCGGGGUGUAAACCGUUGUCAGGACUAAGAAAGUCCGCUUCGGCGGAUUGAUCAAGUCCAGAGGAAGUCACGGCUAACUCUGUGCCAGCAGCCGCGGUAAGACAGAGGUGGCUAGCGUUGUUCGGUAUCACUGGGCUUAAAGCGUGUGUAGGCGGAAGCGUAAGCAUUUUGUGAAAUCCCCCGGCUCAACCGGGGAAUCGCUUGAUGUACUGCGCUUCUUGAGGCAAGUAGGGGUGCAUGGAACUCUUGGUGGAGCGGUGGAAUGCGUAGAUAUCAAGAGGAACGCCGGUGGAGAAGUCGGUGCACUGGGCUUGUCCUGACGCUGAGACACGAAAGCGUGGGGAGCGAACGGGAUUAGAUACCCCGGUAGUCCACGCCGUAAACGAUGCCUACUAGGUUGUGGCGGUUCUGACGCCGGCACAGCCGAAGCCAAAGUGUUAAGUAGGCCGCCUGGGGAGUACGGUCGCAAGGCUAAAACUCAAAGGAAUUGACGGGGGCUCACACAAGCGGUGUAGCAUGUGGAUUAAUUCGAAGCAACGCGCAGAACUUUACCUGGGUUUGACAUGCUUGGAUGCCCGCCUGGAAACAGGUUUGGGUUGCCCUUCGGGGUGAAACUUGCACAGGUGCUGCAUGGCUGUAGUCAGCUCGUGUCGUGAGAUGUCGGGUUAAGUCCCUUAACGAGCGAAACCCUUGCCGGUAGUGGCAGCGGUCAUGCCGGACUCUAAGGGACCGCUGGUGUUAAACCGGAGGAAGGUGGGGAUGACGUCAAGUCAUCAUGGCCUUUAUGCCCAGGGCAUCACACGUGCUACAAUGGCCGGUACAGAUCGACGCGAGACCGUGAGGUGGAGCCAAUCGCAAAAAGCCGGCUCCAGUUCGGAUUGCAGGCUGGCAACUCGCCUGCAUGAAGGUGGAAUCGCUAGUAAUCGCGAUCCAGCGAUGCCGCGGUGUAAUGUUGCGUGACCCU
This 1348-nucleotide ribosomal RNA is filed under the name uncultured bacterium. RNAcentral's name for it is "bacterial SSU rRNA". It matches the Rfam family "Bacterial small subunit ribosomal RNA", at positions 30 to 1381 of the family's 1533-position model. The record is from RNAcentral.